UACGUAGGGGGCAAGCGUUAUCCGGAUUCACUGGGUGUAAAGGGAGCGUAGACGGCGACGCAAGUCUGGAGUGAAAGCCCGGGGCCCAACCCCGGGACUGCUCUGGAAACUGCGGCGCUGGAGUACGGGAGGGGCAGGCGGAAUUCCUGGUGUAGCGGUGAAAUGCGUAGAUAUCAGGAGGAACACGGGCGGCGAAGGCGGCCUGCUGGACCGUGACUGACGUUGAGGCUCGAGAGCGUGGGGAGCAAACAGG
Molecule: ribosomal RNA, 253 nt
Filed under: uncultured bacterium
Lineage: Bacteria
Description: partial 16S ribosomal RNA
Rfam family: Bacterial small subunit ribosomal RNA
Source: RNAcentral